CAAAAGGUCCUUUUCAGGACCAGCCAAAAGAGUUCAAAAGAGUAUGU
Molecule: non-coding RNA, 47 nt
Organism: Culex pipiens (northern house mosquito)
Lineage: Eukaryota; Metazoa; Arthropoda; Insecta; Diptera; Culicidae
Source: Rfam